Molecule: ribosomal RNA, 831 nt
Filed under: bacterium
Lineage: Bacteria
Description: bacterial SSU rRNA
Rfam family: Bacterial small subunit ribosomal RNA
Source: RNAcentral
CAUCAAUGGCGAAGGCAACUUACUGGACAUUUACUGACGCUCAGACACGAAGGCUAGGGUAGCGAAAGGGAUUAGAUACCCCUGUAGUCCUAGCAGUAAACGGUGCUCGCUUGGUGUGGGAGGAUUCGACCCCUUCUGUGCCGGAGCUAACGCGUUAAGCGAGCCGCCUGGGAAGUACGGUCGCAAGACUAAAACUCAAAGAAAUUGACGGGGACCCGCACAAGCGGUGGAGUAUGUGGCUUAAUUCGAUGCAACGCGAAGAACCUUACCUAGGCUUGACAUGCUUGUCGUACUCUCCCGAAAAGGAGAGGUCACUUCGGGUGGACAAUGCACAGGUGCUGCAUGGCCGUCGUCAGCUCGUGUCGUGAGAUGUUUGGUUAAGUCCAGCAACGAGCGCAACCCCUGUGAACUGUUGCCAGCGCGUAAAGGCGGGGACUCUGUUCAGACUGCCCAGAUCAACUGGGAGGAAGGUGGGGACGACGUCAGGUCAGUAUGGCCCUUACGCCUAGGGCUGCACACGUACUACAAUGCCCAGCACAAUGAGAACCGAUACCGCGAGGUGGAGGAAAUCUGCAAAACUGGGCCCAGUUCGGAUUGGAGGCUGCAACUCGCCUCCAUGAAGUCGGAAUCGCUAGUAAUGCCGUAUCAGCUACGACGGCGUGAAUACGUUCCCGGGUCUUGUACACACCGCCCGUCACAUCAUGGAAGCCGGUCGCACCCGAAGUAUAUGCGCUAACUUUAUUGAAGCAGUAUCCUAAGGUGAGGCUGGUAACUGGGAUGAAGUCGUAACAAGGUAGCCGUAGGGGAACCUGCGGCUGGAUCACCUCCUUU